GACGAACGCUGGCGGCGUGCCUAAUACAUGCAAGUAGAACGCUGAAGGAGGAGCUUGCUUCUCUGGAUGAGUUGCGAACGGGUGAGUAACGCGUAGGUAACCUGCCUGGUAGCGGGGGAUAACUAUUGGAAACGAUAGCUAAUACCGCAUAAGAGUAGAUGUUGCAUGACAUUUGCUUAAAAGGUGCAAUUGCAUCACUACCAGAUGGACCUGCGUUGUAUUAGCUAGUUGGUGGGGUAACGGCUCACCAAGGCGACGAUACAUAGCCGACCUGAGAGGGUGAUCGGCCACACUGGGACUGAGACACGGCCCAGACUCCUACGGGAGGCAGCAGUAGGGAAUCUUCGGCAAUGGACGGAAGUCUGACCGAGCAACGCCGCGUGAGUGAAGAAGGUUUUCGGAUCGUAAAGCUCUGUUGUAAGAGAAGAACGAGUGUGAGAGUGGAAAGUUCACACUGUGACGGUAUCUUACCAGAAGGGACGGCUAACUACGCG
Molecule: ribosomal RNA, 494 nt
Filed under: uncultured bacterium
Lineage: Bacteria
Description: partial 16S ribosomal RNA
Rfam family: Bacterial small subunit ribosomal RNA
Source: RNAcentral